GUGCUCGCUUCGGCAGCACAAACACUAAUAUUGGAACGAUACAGAGAAGAUUAUCAUGGCCCCUGCACAAGGAUGACACGCAAACUCGUGAAUCAUUCCGUAUUUAA
Molecule: small nuclear RNA, 107 nt
Filed under: Echinops telfairi (small Madagascar hedgehog)
Lineage: Eukaryota; Metazoa; Chordata; Mammalia; Afrosoricida; Tenrecidae
Source: RNAcentral